Molecule: ribosomal RNA, 70 nt
Filed under: Lepisosteus platyrhincus (Florida gar)
Lineage: Eukaryota; Metazoa; Chordata; Actinopteri; Semionotiformes; Lepisosteidae
Source: RNAcentral
GAUCUACUCCGCGGCGGCGAAUCUGGACGCGCGCCGGGCCCUUCCCGCGGAUCUCCCCAGCUGCGGCGCG